UAGGGAAUCUUCGGCAAUGGACGAAAGUCUGACCGAGCAACGCCGCGUGAGUGAAGAAGGUUUUCGGAUCGUAAAACUCUGUUGUUAGAGAAGAACAAGGACGUUAGUAACUGAACGUCCCCUGACGGUAUCUAACCAGAAAGCCACGGCUAACUACGUGCCAGCAGCCGCGGUAAUACGUAGGUGGCAAGCGUUGUCCGGAUUUAUUGGGCGUAAAGCUAGCGCAGGCGGUUUCUUAAGUCUGAUGUGAAAGCCCCCGGCUCAACCGGGGAGGGUCAUUGGAAACUGGGAGACUUGAGUGCAGAAGAGGAGAGUGGAAUUCCAUGUGUAGCGGUGAAAUGCGUAGAUAUAUGGAGGAACACCAGUGGCGAAGGCGGCUCGCUGGUCUGUAACUGACGCUGAGGCUCGAAAGCGUGGGGAGCAAACAGG
Molecule: ribosomal RNA, 429 nt
Filed under: Gemmatimonadota bacterium
Lineage: Bacteria; Pseudomonadati; Gemmatimonadota
Description: Gemmatimonadetes bacterium partial 16S ribosomal RNA
Rfam family: Bacterial small subunit ribosomal RNA
Source: RNAcentral